RNAcentral lists this ribosomal RNA (460 nucleotides) under uncultured bacterium. Its description in RNAcentral is "partial 16S ribosomal RNA". It matches the Rfam family "Bacterial small subunit ribosomal RNA", at positions 338 to 795 of the family's 1533-position model. The record is from RNAcentral.
CCUACGGGAGGCAGCAGUGAGGAAUAUUGGUCAAUGGACGGAAGUCUAAACCAGCCAUGCCGCGUGCAGGAAGACGGCUCUAUGAGUUGUAAACUGCUUUUGUACAAGGGUAAACCUGAAUACGUGUAUUCAGCUGAAAGUACUGUACGAAUAAGGAUCGGCUAACUCCGUGCCAGCAGCCGCGGUAAUACGGAGGAUCCAAGCGUUAUCCGGAUUUAUUGGGUUUAAAGGGUGCGUAGGCGGAUUGAUAAGUUAGAGGUGAAAUGUUCGAGCUUAACUGGGGAACUGAAUCUAAUACUGUUGGUCUAGAGAGUAGAUGCGGUAGGCGGAAUGUAUGGUGUAGCGGUGAAAUGCUUAGAGAUCAUACAGAACACCGAUUGCGAAGGCAGCUUACCAAUCUAUAUCUGACGUUGAGGCACGAAAGCGUGGGGAGCAAACAGGAUUAGAUACCCCAGUAGUC